Molecule: non-coding RNA, 72 nt
Organism: Alligator sinensis (Chinese alligator)
Lineage: Eukaryota; Metazoa; Chordata; Crocodylia; Alligatoridae
Source: the annotation of a RefSeq genome assembly
UCCCUCAUGGUCUAGUGGUUAGGAUUCAGUACUAUCACUACUGUGACCUGGGUUCAAUUCUCAGUCAGGGAA